GAUCUUCUAGACAACUGUCUAGCAGAAAUCAAGAGACAAACCCUUGAGAUCUCCUCGAGCAGUGUGCUAAUUUGUGGAUUAGACAUCCAUCAUUAGCUGUAAUCAAUGUCUCCCAUAGCGUGUCAACUCUUUUUCUGUGCCAUCAUUAAUUUUGACUAUUCAUUUUUUCAUCUAACACUGUCGUUUUGCAUGCCUCUUGUUUGUACUUAUAAUUUUC
This 217-nucleotide long non-coding RNA is filed under the name Lathyrus oleraceus (garden pea). RNAcentral's name for it is "Pisum sativum (pea) long non-coding RNA (PSAT_LNC013306)". Lineage: Eukaryota; Viridiplantae; Streptophyta; Magnoliopsida; Fabales; Fabaceae. The record is from RNAcentral.